UACGGCCACUUCGCGUUGUAACACCGUUUCCCGUAUGAUCACUGAUGUUAAGCAACGUCGAGCCUGGUCAGUACCUAGAUGGGUGACCGCUUGGGAAUAUCAGGUGCUGUCAG
Molecule: non-coding RNA, 113 nt
Organism: Acanthosepion pharaonis
Lineage: Eukaryota; Metazoa; Mollusca; Cephalopoda; Sepiida; Sepiidae
Source: the annotation of a GenBank genome assembly